Molecule: transfer RNA, 72 nt
Filed under: Guillardia theta
Lineage: Eukaryota; Cryptophyceae; Pyrenomonadales; Geminigeraceae
Description: tRNA-Val
Rfam family: tRNA
About the family: Transfer RNA (tRNA) molecules are approximately 80 nucleotides in length. Their secondary structure includes four short double-helical elements and three loops (D, anti-codon, and T loops).
Source: RNAcentral
AGGUAGUUAUCUCAAUGGUAGAGUAUUUCUCUUACAAAGAAAAGGUUAAGGGUUCAAGUCCUUUACUACCUA